This 253-nucleotide ribosomal RNA is filed under the name uncultured bacterium. RNAcentral's name for it is "partial 16S ribosomal RNA". It matches the Rfam family "Bacterial small subunit ribosomal RNA", at positions 524 to 776 of the family's 1533-position model. The record is from RNAcentral.
UACGUAGGGCGCAAGCGUUGUCCGGAAUUAUUGGGCGUAAAGAGCUCGUAGGCGGCUUGUCACGUCGGCUGUGAAAUCCCGAGGCUCAACCUCGGGUCUGCAGUCGAUACGGGCGGACUGGAGUACUGCAGGGGAGACUGGAAUUCCUGGUGUAGCGGUGAAAUGCGCAGAUAUCAGGAGGAACACCGGUGGCGAAGGCGGGUCUCUGGGCAGUUACUGACGCUGAGGAGCGAAAGCGUGGGGAGCGAACAGG